This is a non-coding RNA of Suillus americanus, 73 nucleotides long. NCBI's taxonomy places the organism in Eukaryota, Fungi, Basidiomycota, Agaricomycetes, Boletales, Suillaceae. The record is from the annotation of a GenBank genome assembly.
GGACUUAUGGCUUAGUGGUUAGAGUGCUGCACCUAUGAACACAGGGUCUUUGGUUCAAUUCCCGCCAUUUGCA